Molecule: ribosomal RNA, 497 nt
Filed under: uncultured bacterium
Lineage: Bacteria
Description: partial 16S ribosomal RNA
Rfam family: Bacterial small subunit ribosomal RNA
Source: RNAcentral
GAUGAACGCUGGCGGCGUGCCUAAUACAUGCAAGUCGAGCGAACAGACGAGGAGCUUGCUCCUCUGACGUUAGCGGCGGACGGGUGAGUAACACGUGGAUAACCUACCUAUAAGACUGGGAUAACUUCGGGAAACCGGAGCUAAUACCGGAUAAUAUAUUGAACCGCAUGGUUCAAUAGUGAAAGACGGUUUUGCUGUCACUUAUAGAUGGAUCCGCGCCGCAUUGGCUGGUUGGUACGGUAACGGCUUACCAAGGCAACGAUGCGUAGCCGACCUGAGAGGGUGAUCGGCCACACUGGAACUGAGCCACGGUCCAGGCUCCUACGGGAGGCAGCAGUAGGGAAUCUUCCGCAAUGGGCGAAAGCCUGACGGAGCAACGGCGCGUGAGUGAUGAAGGUCUUCGGAUCGUAAAACUCUGUUAUUAGGGAAGAACAAAUGUGUAAGGAACUAUGCACGUCUUGACGGUACCUAAUCAGAAAGCCACGGCUAACUACGUG